This 427-nucleotide ribosomal RNA is filed under the name uncultured bacterium. RNAcentral describes it as "partial 16S ribosomal RNA". It matches the Rfam family "Bacterial small subunit ribosomal RNA", at positions 355 to 774 of the family's 1533-position model. The record is from RNAcentral.
UGGGGAAUAUUGCACAAUCGGCGCAAGCCUGAUGCAGCCAUGCCGCGUGUGUGAAGAAGGCCUUCGGGUUGUAAAGCACUUUCAGCGAGGAGGAAGGCAUAAAGGUUAAUAACCUUUGUGAUUGACGUUACUCGCAGAAGAAGCACCGGCUAACUCCGUGCCAGCAGCCGCGGUAAUACGGAGGGGGCAAGCGUUAAUCGGAAUUACUGGGCGUAAAGCGCACGCAGGCGGUUUGUUAAGUCAGAUGUGAAAUCCCCGCGCUUAACGUGGGAACUGCAUUUGAAACUGGCAAGCUAGAGUCUUGUAGAGGGGGGUAGAAUUCCAGGUGUAGCGGUGAAAUGCGUAGAGAUCUGGAGGAAUACCGGUGGCGAAGGCGGCCCCCUGGACAAAGACUGACGCUCAGGUGCGAAAGCGUGGGGAGCAAACA